UAAUACCUGAUAAGCCCACGGGGUCUUCGGACCUUGCGGGAAAAGGGGGGGACCUUCGGGCCUUCUGUCGUCGGAUGAGUCCGCGUACCAUUAGCUAGUUGGUGGGGUAAAGGCCUACCAAGGCGACGAUGGUUAGCUGGUCUGAGAGGAUGAUCAGCCACACUGGAACUGAGACACGGUCCAGACUCCUACGGGAGGCAGCAGUGGGGAAUUUUGCGCAAUGGGGGAAACCCUGACGCAGCAACGCCGCGUGAGUGAUGAAGGCCUUCGGGUCGUAAAGCUCUGUCAGAGGGAAGGAAGUGUGCUAUGGCUAAUAUCCAUGGCACUUGACGGUACCCUCAAAGGAAGCACCGGCUAACUCCGUGCCAGCAGCCGCGGUAAUACGGAGGGUGCGAGCGUUGUUCGGAAUUAUUGGGCGUAAAGCGCGUGUAGGCGGUUUUUUAAGUCUGAUGUGAAAGCCCUGGGCUCAACCUGGGAAGUGCAUUGGAAACUGGAAGACUUGAGUACGGGAGAGGGCAGUGGAAUUCCUAGUGUAGGAGUGAAAUCCGUAGAUAUUAGGAGGAACACCGGUGGCGAAGGCGGCUGCCUGGACCGAUACUGACGCUGAGACGCGAAAGCGUGGGGAGCAAACAGGAUUAGAUACCCUGGUAGUCCACGCCGUAAACGAUGAGUACUAGGUGUCGCGGGUA
RNAcentral lists this ribosomal RNA (689 nucleotides) under uncultured Geobacter sp. RNAcentral's name for it is "bacterial SSU rRNA". It matches the Rfam family "Bacterial small subunit ribosomal RNA", at positions 164 to 831 of the family's 1533-position model. Lineage: Bacteria; Pseudomonadati; Thermodesulfobacteriota; Desulfuromonadia; Geobacterales; Geobacteraceae. The record is from RNAcentral.